Molecule: ribosomal RNA, 280 nt
Filed under: uncultured bacterium
Lineage: Bacteria
Description: partial 16S ribosomal RNA
Rfam family: Bacterial small subunit ribosomal RNA
Source: RNAcentral
UGCCAGCCGCCGCGGUAAUACGGAUGGUGCGAGCGUUAAUCGGAAUUACUGGGCGUAAAGGGCUCGUAGGCGGUUCAACAAGUCGGUCGUGAAAGCCCGGGGCUCAACCCCGGGAGGCCGGUCGAAACUGUUGUGACUAGAGUUCGGUAGAGGUGAGUGGAAUUCCCGGUGUAGCGGUGGAAUGCGCAGAUAUCGGGAGGAACACCAUUAGCGAAGGCGGCUCACUGGGCCGAUACUGACGCUGAGGAGCGAAAGCGUGGGGAGCAAACAGGAUUAGAUA